AUCGCUUCUCGGCCUUUUGGCUAAGAUCAUGUGUAGUUCUGUUCUUGUCAGUUUUAAUAUCUGAUAUGUCUCUUAUUUAGGGACUCAAUAUUAAUCUGAUUUUUGCAGGCAGGAGUUGUGCUAGGAGCUUGCUCCGCCAACUUCGCGCAUCGUCCUAGUAUUGCAGUGUUUCUGGGAAUGGUGCACUCCAC
This is a small nuclear RNA of Chiloscyllium plagiosum (whitespotted bambooshark), 191 nucleotides long. RefSeq annotates it as U2 spliceosomal RNA. Lineage: Eukaryota; Metazoa; Chordata; Chondrichthyes; Orectolobiformes; Hemiscylliidae. The record is from RefSeq and is a predicted model, not a curated record.